AAAUAAAAAAAUAUUUUGUUAGAAAAUAUAUUUGAAAAUGUGAUUAGUUACAAUCCCAGAGGUUCAGGAGCUCUCCAAGCAAACUCCACAGCUGAAGACUUCGAUUUCAUGGCGGCAAAGCAAUCAGGUUUCAUCAUCUGAGACAUAUACAAUGGAGCCUGUACAUUUGAGUGGACGCACUUUGCUCAAGGGAAGGGUGAGUACUCAGGAGAUUUUCCAUUUAUCCAAUUCUGACUUGGUCCCUGGUAAAUAUGAGGGAUUUAUGUUGAGGAUUUGCAUAAUGUAGGGGGACUAAAACUGUGAGAAGGUUCACUAGAUUUAGUUAAAACUCUGCAAUCAGAGGUGCAAGAUGGUCAAUUAUUACUUACUGGAAAGCAGGUUUUAGAGGUGAGCUCCUAUUACUAAAGUGACCUCUAUUCUCUAACGCUAUGAUGCAUAAACAUGUUUGAAAUUGAGAUGAAUUUGGCUACAAUGAAACAUUUCUAUAUUGUAUGCCAUAUAUAUGCAUUACAUAUGUUUUAUCAUUGCAUGUCUUUUUGUAGGUCUAUCACAUGGCAAUGCGGCUGUUUGUUAUAUUAGUUGGGGUUGUGAUGAGUCUAUCCUAAGCAGGGGCAUACAAACCACCAAGUAUGUUAGCUUGGCUAGCUAACAUGCUCAAUGCCUUAACUUUGAGCCAUGGCACCACAAGAUGAGCCAACAUAGGGCAUCCCGAGGCGUGGCCAGAGCACCACUCAAUUGUGUUGAGGGUCCAAGGCAUCCCUGCUCGACUAACUCUGCCCCUCAAUUGUGUUGAGGGGCAACAUGGCUCUGCAUCUCAUUUGGCUUGGCUGAGGGGUCCUUCACCAGACCAUGACCCCACUAUGUCUCGUCUUCUCUUUCUCCGUAAAGCUGUCUCCUACUGAUCAAGACAUCUCCAAUACCAUCAUCCAAUGAUGACCUAGGUUGAGUGUUGGGCCUAGGAAUCCUUGUCUGGGGGAUCACUCUAGGUAUGUGGGUUAGAGGUUAGAGUUAGGGAUUCAUUUUGGUGCCUUUCCAUCCCCCUACCCUGAUGGUGUCUGCACCUUGAUCAAUCUGAGA
Non-coding RNA from Camellia sinensis, 1077 nucleotides. The record is from RefSeq and is a predicted model, not a curated record. NCBI's taxonomy places the organism in Eukaryota, Viridiplantae, Streptophyta, Magnoliopsida, Ericales, Theaceae.